GGGGCGAUAGAUCAACGGUAGAUCGCGUGCCUCGCACGCACGAGGUUCCGGGUUCAAAUCCCGGUCGCUCCACCA
This 75-nucleotide transfer RNA is filed under the name Candidatus Hermodarchaeota archaeon. Its description in RNAcentral is "tRNA-Ala". It matches the Rfam family "tRNA". Rfam says of the family: Transfer RNA (tRNA) molecules are approximately 80 nucleotides in length. Their secondary structure includes four short double-helical elements and three loops (D, anti-codon, and T loops). Further hydrogen bonds mediate the characteristic L-shaped molecular structure. tRNAs have two regions of fundamental functional importance: the anti-codon, which is responsible for specific mRNA codon recognition, and the 3' end, to which the tRNAs corresponding amino acid is attached (by aminoacyl-tRNA synthetases). tRNAs cope with the degeneracy of the genetic code in two manners: having more than one tRNA (with a specific anti-codon) for a particular amino acid; and 'wobble' base-pairing, i.e. permitting non-standard base-pairing at the 3rd anti-codon position. The record is from RNAcentral. Lineage: Archaea; Promethearchaeati; Candidatus Hermodarchaeota.